GUAGUCGUGGCCGAGUGGUUAAGGCGACGAACUAGAAAUCCGUUGGGAUUUUCCGACGCAGGUUCGAGUCCUGUCGACGACG
RNAcentral lists this transfer RNA (82 nucleotides) under Stegodyphus mimosarum. RNAcentral's name for it is "tRNA-Ser for anticodon AGA". It matches the Rfam family "tRNA". From Rfam's summary of the family: Transfer RNA (tRNA) molecules are approximately 80 nucleotides in length. Their secondary structure includes four short double-helical elements and three loops (D, anti-codon, and T loops). Further hydrogen bonds mediate the characteristic L-shaped molecular structure. tRNAs have two regions of fundamental functional importance: the anti-codon, which is responsible for specific mRNA codon recognition, and the 3' end, to which the tRNAs corresponding amino acid is attached (by aminoacyl-tRNA synthetases). tRNAs cope with the degeneracy of the genetic code in two manners: having more than one tRNA (with a specific anti-codon) for a particular amino acid; and 'wobble' base-pairing, i.e. permitting non-standard base-pairing at the 3rd anti-codon position. Lineage: Eukaryota; Metazoa; Arthropoda; Arachnida; Araneae; Eresidae. The record is from Rfam by way of RNAcentral.